CAGGGAGACAACAAAAUGUAAAUAUUAAUUUUGUCACCUUAGGUCGAUCGGUAUCUCAGAUUCUUAUUUUUUAAGAAUUUCAGUUUCUAAGUUUUUUCUAGGUCACACCCAUCACUUUUCCUGGGCCAUUAGCUCAGGUGGUUAGAGCGCACCCCUGAUAAGGGUGAGGUCCCUGGUUCAAGUCCAGGAUGGCCCAUAUCUCUAUGUUGGGGGUAUAGCUCAGUUGGUAGAGCGCCUGCUUUGCAAGCAGGAUGUCAGCGGUUCGAGUCCGCUUACCUCCACUGAAUACCACCUCUUACAUAUAUAUAAAGAGGGAAAUUGUUUUGAGUCGUGUCCUAAUUUGCUCUGAGCGAAUCUAGCUUCCUAUUUUAUUCUAUAAAUAAGAUGCUGGACUCAUUGAAUUUAUUUCAUUGUUUUCAGAGAACCUUGACAACUGCAUAGAUUAUUUUUGAAGACAAUAAGCAUCUUUAAUGAUGCAGAUUUAUUAUUUGUGCGAAUGCAUUAAAUAACAAUUCUAUUAAGCUGAUGCUUCAAUUAUUGAAGUUAUU
RNAcentral lists this transfer RNA (548 nucleotides) under uncultured Prochlorococcus sp. RNAcentral's name for it is "partial 16S-23S ribosomal RNA intergenic spacer". The stretch from base 209 to 281 matches the Rfam family "tRNA". The record is from RNAcentral. Lineage: Bacteria; Bacillati; Cyanobacteriota; Cyanophyceae; Synechococcales; Prochlorococcaceae.